Ostrinia nubilalis (European corn borer) is the source of this 3046-nucleotide long non-coding RNA. RefSeq lists it as uncharacterized. NCBI's taxonomy places the organism in Eukaryota, Metazoa, Arthropoda, Insecta, Lepidoptera, Crambidae. The transcript has 6 exons. The record is from RefSeq and is a predicted model, not a curated record.
CAUAUAAAGAGAAGCAGACCAAACGUAAAUUUGACAAACACAUAGAUAAGAAUAACUAAUAUCUCCAUUUCUUUUACUCCAACUCAAAGUCAAAUAUUGCAUCUCUUUUUUUUUUACUGUCGCAACAUUAACGCACACACUGACAAAACCGACCAUGAAGCAGACGCCAUUUUGCUAAGCUACAAAAUAAGCGACAUAUGGCGAUGUAAACAAACAAGGUGCCGUGUUUCUUUAAUUUAUUUUUGUGAAUCGUUGUGCUUUAAUGUGCCAAAAAGACUGAAACAAGAUGGUGAAGUGUAGUGCGAAAAUGUGCGAAAACGCAUCUUAUAAGAAAACACCCGAUAUUAGUUUCCAUCGUCUUUUACAGGUUUCCAAAAAAUAUCAAUUUGAAAAAAGCAUGGUUGUCUAUGAUGAAGAGACAAAAUUGGCAGCCCAAAUCAUCUAGUGUGCUGUGUUCAAAGCAUUUCGAAGCUCACUUGAUAGAUAGAAGUGGUUUCCGUACAGUGCUUAAAUCUGAAGCGAUCCCAACAAUUUUUGAUUCAUUGCAAGAUCAAGAAGAUAUACCGACAUUACCACAAACAGGAGGAAGUGCUGGAGAAGAUCUAGCUAUCCAUAAAGUGUCCAAUGUACAGCCAACCUCUAAAAUACAUACUCAAUAUAUAAUACAAGAAACACAAGACAGGCAAUAUGGAAUUUUACAGGAAAUUCAAAAUAUACAGUCAUGUAACAUACCUACAGUACCACUAAAAGCUGUACCAGGAGGAAGUGCCGGAGAAGAUUCUGUUGUCCCCAAUGUGUUCAAUGUACAGCCAAGUACCUCUACAAUACAUUCUCAAUAUGCUGAAGACAACCGAAGAAAAGAAGAAGAAAUAAACAAAUUGAAACAUAAAACUUUCCUCAAGAAUAAAAAAAUAAAAGCACUGAAACAACAAAAUAGACGGCUUAAAAAUAAAGUUACAAAAUUUUCUGACAUAAUAUCCAGUUUAAAAAAGAAAUUAAAUCAGGACGAAUUUCACAUUAUGUCAGGAAUGAAUAUACAAAACAAAGAUUUCUUUGUCAGGUAUUUAAAAAAAGCAAAAAGCUCCACUGUGAGCAAAUCAUUUUCCCCAGAAUUGAGGGCUUUUGCUCUACAAUUAAAUUUUUAUUCUCCCAGAGCAUAUCAUUUUGUAAGAAAUUCUUUUAAUACGGUUUUACCUCACCCAGCUACAUUGUCACGCUGGUAUAAAAAAGUUGACGCGGAACCAGGGUUCACCUCGGAGAGUUUUGAUACUUUGGAGGCAUUAGCAAAAAAUUGCACCCACGAAGUUAUCGUUAAUUUAAGCUUGGACGAAAUGGCUAUACGAAAAGGGUUAGUAUGGGAUGGGACCGAAAAUAAAUUCAAAGGUUAUGUCGAUACAGGCACGAAUGUCACCGACGAUAGCCUACCUUUAGCCACACAGGCUUUAGUUUUGUUGGUAACAGCUGUAAAUUUUAAUUGGAUACUUCCAAUUGGAUAUUUUUUCAUACAUGCCAUGACAGGUGUACAGCGAGCAAAUGUUGUUAAAAUGGCACUUCGAAUGUUAUUUGACAUUAAUAUUAUUGUUUGUGGCUUGACAUUUGAUGGUGCUGCAUCCAAUAUCGCUAUGGCGACACAUUUAGGGUGUAAUUUUGAUUUGAAAAAUCUAAAACCGUAUUUCUUGUUUGAUAAUAGAAGAAUAAAUGUAUUUUACGACCCCUGCCACAUGAUUAAGCUUAUACGAAAUACUUUUGGUGAAUUUGGAAGCUUAAUCGAUAAAGACGGAAAAUUGAUAAACUUUAAAUAUCUCGGUCUACUACUAGAGCUACAGUCCGAAAAAGGGUUACAUUUAGCGAACAAAUUAAAACAGGCACAUAUUUUGUUUGGAAAACAAAAAAUGAAAGUUCGUUUGGCCGUGCAAUUACUAAGCAAAUCCGUGGCCGACGCACUUUCAUUUUGCAAUGCAAAUAGAUUUGAACAAUUCAGUGGGUGUGAAGCGACCAUACGAUUUAUUAAUAUUGUUAAUGACGCAUUCGAUAUUUUAAAUAGUCGGUCUACACUAGCACCUGGGAAUAAAAAAGCGUUGUGUAGUGCCAAUAUCCAAAAGGCUAAAGAACAGACAGAAAUUUGGCAGGAUUAUUUAAGUAAUUUAUUGUUACCAAACGGCAAUUUAGUUGUAGAGUCAGCCCGUAAAACAGGAUUCGUAGGUUUUAUUGUUUGCCUGCACAGUGCGCUCAAUAUGUACGAUGACUUGGUCACUAAAGGAAAGUUAAGGUUUUUGACUGUAUACAAAAUCAGCCAGGAUUUUUUAGAAAUGUUUUUUGGGAAAAUGAGGGUUAGGGGUGGGUUUAAUGACAACCCUAAUGUAGUACAAUUUAAAUCUGCAUAUAAAAAAAAUAUUAUCAGAAUUAAAAUUAAGAUGCAAUCGGAUGGUUUCCUAAUUCCAAAUUCAAUAUUGACAGUAAGUUCCACCAAAAAGGCAAUAGACACUAUGAACGAAACAACACCAAGCUUUGAAAAAAACAUAAUGGAACUUUAUAAUUUAAAUGAUGAAGACUUUGAUUGUUUUUUAGAUAAUAUUAUGUCAAACCAGUUAGAUGAUUAUACGCAUCAUGUCACUGUCUAUAUCGCAGGUUUCAUAGCAAGAAAAAUUAUAAAAGUGGUUACUUGUUAUGUAUGCCAAAUGCUUAUGCUAGGAGAAAAAGAAAAUUUUUUCAACUCGUUAAUUAAUAUAAAGGACAGAGGAGGCUUAAUAUACCCCUCAACUGGAUUAAUAAAAAUCAUUUAAUCGUGCGAAAAGUUUUUGAAAAUGUUUAAAGGAAAUGUAAAUAUUAAUAGUUUAAUUAUGUACAUAGCUGAUUCAUCAAAUUAUUGUGUUGGUUUAAAAACUAACGAUGAUCAUGAUUGUAAUCAUUUGCAUUUAUUAGUUAAGGUUAUUGUUAAGUUUUACGUUGAUUUAAGAAUGAAGCAUGACGCGAAACAAAGCAAUUUAUCAGAUAGAAAUUACUUAAAAAAAAUGAUUUUGUUUAAAAAUAAAUAAUUAAACAUUUA